Lolium rigidum is the source of this 395-nucleotide long non-coding RNA. RefSeq lists it as uncharacterized. Lineage: Eukaryota; Viridiplantae; Streptophyta; Magnoliopsida; Poales; Poaceae. The transcript is spliced from 3 exons. The record is from RefSeq and is a predicted model, not a curated record.
AAUAAUAUUUUGCAUAGCUAAACAUAAUGGAUACAUCUAAUCUAAUCAAUCCUGAGGAAACUGACAUAUGUUGUUCGCCUUCAGGGUAGUGUGAUUUUACAUGCAAAUGAUUCACAAUCACAAGCUUGGUCAUGAGAAGACAAAGAAGAGGAAAAUAAUUUCAAAUAAAACCACGAGGGAAGUUACCACAAGAGAAGCCAGAAGGUAUCAAUUGCCAGGCAAACCAGGCCAGCGCCAUCAGCGAGGAGUGUACCAUCGCUUGGCUGCAUUCUCAGGCCAUGUUCCACUCUUCUCCAACUGGCUGACGCAUCGCUAGCAAAGACAGUAUCGAGUAAAUUGCCACAAGAUGAAGACCCUUUUCCAUGAAGGCAGAGACUAGAAGAGGCCCGAGGCCC